This 35-nucleotide ribosomal RNA is filed under the name Oreina speciosa. RNAcentral's name for it is "partial 28S ribosomal RNA". The record is from RNAcentral. Lineage: Eukaryota; Metazoa; Arthropoda; Insecta; Coleoptera; Chrysomelidae.
CGACCUCAGAUGAGGUGAUACUCCCCGCUGAAUUU